UACGGAAGGCAGCAGUGGGGAAUAUUGCACAAUGGGCGCAAGCCUGAUGCAGCCAUGCCGCGUGUAUGAAGAAGGCCUUCGGGUUGUAAAGUACUUUCAGUCGUGAGGAAGGUGUUAAGGUUAAUAACCUUAGCAAUUGACGUUAGCGACAGAAGAAGCACCGGCUAACUCCGUGCCAGCAGCCGCGGUAAUACGGAGGGUGCGAGCGUUAAUCGGAAUUACUGGGCGUAAAGGGCACGCAGGCGGUUAAUUAAGUUGGAUGUGAAUCCCCGGGCUUAACCUGGGAAUGGCAUUCAAGACUGGUUAGCUAGAGUCUUGUAGAGGGGGUAGGAAUUCCAUGUGUAGCGGUGAAAUGCGUAGAGAUGUGGAGGAAUACCGGUGGCGAAGGCGGCCCCUGGACAAAGACUGACGCUCAUGUGCGAAAGCGUGGGGAGCAAACAGGGAUUAGAUACC
RNAcentral lists this ribosomal RNA (453 nucleotides) under uncultured bacterium. RNAcentral describes it as "bacterial SSU rRNA". It matches the Rfam family "Bacterial small subunit ribosomal RNA", at positions 340 to 786 of the family's 1533-position model. The record is from RNAcentral.